Dreissena polymorpha is the source of this 614-nucleotide long non-coding RNA. RefSeq lists it as uncharacterized. The record is from RefSeq and is a predicted model, not a curated record. The transcript has 3 exons. NCBI's taxonomy places the organism in Eukaryota, Metazoa, Mollusca, Bivalvia, Myida, Dreissenidae.
GGUUGGCCAGGAUUAACAGAUGACCACUGGUCAUUUCAAGGUCAUUCAUUUGAAGGUCAAGGUCACUGUGACCUUCAAUAUAAAAAAUGUUAAAGUUGUUAUAACUUUGGUAUGCUUGGACCUAGAGUCUUGAAACUUGACAUGAAGGUUGGCCAGGAUUAACAGAUGACCACUGGUCAUUUCAAGGUCAUUCAUUUGAAGGUGAAGGUCACUGUGACCUUCAAUAUAAAAAUGUUAAAGUUGUUAUAACUUUGGUAUGCUUGGACCUAGAGUCUUGAAACUUGACAUGAAGGUUGGCCAGAACUAGUAAGUAACCACUGGACAUUUCAAGGUCAUUCAUUUGAAGGUCAAGGUCACUGUGACCUUCAAUAUAAAAAAUGUUAAAGUUGUUAUAACUUUGGUAUGCUUGGACCUAGAGUCUUGAAACUUGACAUGAAGGUUGGCCAGAACUAGUUAGUAACCACUGGUCAUUUCAAGGUCAUUCAUUUGAAGGUGAAGGUCACUGUGACCUUCAAUAUAAAAAUGUUAAAGUUGUUAUAACUUUGGUAUGCUUGGACCUAGAGUCUUGAAACUUGACAUGAAGGUUGGCCAGAACUAGUAAGUAACCACUGGAC